This 72-nucleotide transfer RNA is filed under the name Penicillium camemberti FM 013. Its description in RNAcentral is "tRNA-Arg (TCG) (tRNA-Arg-TCG-1-1, tRNA-Arg-TCG-1-2)". It matches the Rfam family "tRNA". Rfam says of the family: Transfer RNA (tRNA) molecules are approximately 80 nucleotides in length. Their secondary structure includes four short double-helical elements and three loops (D, anti-codon, and T loops). Further hydrogen bonds mediate the characteristic L-shaped molecular structure. tRNAs have two regions of fundamental functional importance: the anti-codon, which is responsible for specific mRNA codon recognition, and the 3' end, to which the tRNAs corresponding amino acid is attached (by aminoacyl-tRNA synthetases). tRNAs cope with the degeneracy of the genetic code in two manners: having more than one tRNA (with a specific anti-codon) for a particular amino acid; and 'wobble' base-pairing, i.e. permitting non-standard base-pairing at the 3rd anti-codon position. The record is from RNAcentral. Lineage: Eukaryota; Fungi; Ascomycota; Eurotiomycetes; Eurotiales; Aspergillaceae.
GGGCGGCUGGCCUAAUGGUAAGGCGUCUGAUUUCGGCUCAGAAGACUGCAGGUUCGAUCCCUGCGUCGCUCA